GAGUAACACGUGGGCAAUCUGCCCUUCACUCUGGGACAAGUCCUGGAAACGGGGUCUAAUACCGGAUACCAGGCUGGGAGGCAUCUCCCGGGUUGGAAAGCUCCGGCGGUGAAGGAUGAGCCCGCGGCCUAUCAGCUUGUUGGUGAGGUAAUGGCUCACCAAGGCGACGACGGGUAGCCGGCCUGAGAGGGCGACCGGCCACUCUGGGACUGACACACGGCCCACACUCCUACGGGAGGCAGCAGGGGGGAAUAUUGCACAGUGGGAAAAAGCCUGAUGCAGCCACCCCGCGUGAGGGAUGACGGCCUUCGGGUUGUAAACCUCUUUCAGCAGGAAAAAAGCGAGAGUGACGGUCCCUGCAAAAAAAGCGCCGGCUAACUACGUGCCAGCAGCCGCGGUAAUACGUAGGGCGCAAGCGUUGUCCGGAAUUAUUGGGCGUAAAGAGCUCGUAGGCGGCUUGUCACGUCUAUUGUGAAAGCCCGAGGCUUAACCUCGGGUCUGCAGUCUAUACGGGCUAGCUAGAGUGUGGUAGGGGAGAUCGGAAUUCCUGGUGUAGCGGUGAAAUGCGCAUAUAUCAGAGAGGAACACCGGUGGCGAACGCGGAUCUCUGGGCCAUUACUGACGCUGAGAGAGCGAAAGCGUGGGGAGCGAACAGGAUUAUACCCUGGUAGUCCACGCCGUAAACGGUGGGAACUAGGUGUUGGCGACAUUCCACGUCGUCGGUGCCGCAGCUAACGCAUUAAGUUCCCCGCCUGGGGAGUACGGCCGCAAGGCUAAAACUCAAAGGAAUUGACGGGGGCCCGCACAAGCGGCGGAGCAUGUGGCUUAAUUCGACGCAACGCGAAGAACCUUACCAAGGCUUGACAUACACCGGAAAACCCUGGAGACAGGGUCCCCCUUGUGGUCGGUGUACAGGUGGUGCAUGGCUGUCGUCAGCUCGUGUCGUGAGAUGUUGGGUUAAGUCCCGCAACGAGCGCAACCCUUGUUCUGUGUUGCCAGCAUGCCCUUCGGGGUGAUGGGGACUCACAGGAGACCGCCGGGGUCAACUCGGAGGAAGGUGGGGACGACGUCAAGUCAUCAUGCCCCUUAUGUCUUGGGCUGCACACGUGCUACAAUGGCCGGUACAAAGAGCUGCGAUACCGUGAGGUGGAGCGAAUCUCAAAAAGCCGGUCUCAGUUCGGAUUGGGGUCUGCAACUCGACCCCAUGAAGUCGGAGUCGCUAGUAAUCGCAGAUCAGCAUUGCUGCGGUGAAUACGUUCCCGGGCCUUGUACACACCGCCCGUCACGUCACG
RNAcentral lists this ribosomal RNA (1292 nucleotides) under Kitasatospora sp. Its description in RNAcentral is "bacterial SSU rRNA". It matches the Rfam family "Bacterial small subunit ribosomal RNA", at positions 108 to 1406 of the family's 1533-position model. Lineage: Bacteria; Bacillati; Actinomycetota; Actinomycetes; Kitasatosporales; Streptomycetaceae. The record is from RNAcentral.